Long non-coding RNA from Tachysurus fulvidraco (yellow catfish), 5467 nucleotides. RefSeq lists it as uncharacterized. Lineage: Eukaryota; Metazoa; Chordata; Actinopteri; Siluriformes; Bagridae. The transcript has 3 exons. The record is from RefSeq and is a predicted model, not a curated record.
UUAUAUGAUAAAUAGUACGUUUUUCUGCGUGAGAAAUACAAUGUGUGGCGGAAGAGCGUGAGAAAAGACCAACACGAGGGACUGUCACUCUCAAUGCGUGACACUUGACAGCCCUCUAUAUGUUUGGAAAGUUGUAAUUGUUUGCAGUUCAUUUUGCCUCCAUUUUUGGCGGAAAAUGGCGGAACGGCUGGAAAGAGAAAAGUUGAUUAAGGGUGCAGGGGAUUUAACCAAAAGUGGACAGCGUUUAUUUCGUUCAGUGUAAAUACGUGCCUGUUUGUCUCAUUUGUCAAGAACAAUGUCUGCGUUCAAAGAAUACUAUGAAUCCCACCACAAGCCCAGAUUAACCAGUCAUCCGUUUGAGUUAGCUUUCAGUUAGCUAAACUGAUUACAAUCGGUUCAGUGAUGGUGAGUUUGUCAAGAAAUAUAUGAAGGCUGUUGAGGAUUUUGUGGGUUUUAAAUAAACCUCGAAAUAAGUCUUCGGAAAAGACGUCUUAAAUGCGGUGAGUCUCUGCAAGUACAAUCAACUGGAAAAUGAAUGCUGGAAAAUAUGAAAUAAUUAGCAUAUAUUGCAUUAGCACAGGAUGAGAGCAAUGACAUGCAAGACAUAUUAGCACAGCUGCUAGUUUUUCUUCGUGGAGUUAGCUGAAACUUUAAAGUGUUUGAGAAGCUGGCAGCCUCUCAAAGUCUCAAUGACAGGGAAGGACAUUUUUGGUAAAGUGUGGAAAACGAUGGGAGAGUUGGGUCUAAACUGGCAUAGACUGGUCUAAACCGGCCAGCGCAUCACGACUGACAGGACUUUUAGCAUUAAGCCCAACAGUCUCUGAAUUGUAAGCUGCAAAGUAACGAGAUAUACACAAACAUCAAAAAGUCAUACAGUGACGAUGUCUACACUUUUUAACAGCACGUAUAUUCGUGAGCAAAUCUUUUCAUUCAGGAAACUGAUGAAAACUCCAAUGAGAUCAAGACUCAGUGAGUUCAAGGCAUCAGUCUUUGAGACUGGCUGUGACAGGAAUGGAUCCUGACAUUGGACUUCUCACCAGCCUGAAGCAAGCCCACAUUUCACACUAAUUAAUAUCCAUAACCUUUCUCCACACACUGAACAGGAAUGGAUCCUGACAUUGGACUUCUCACCAGCCUGAAGCAAGCCCACAGUUCACACUAAUUAAUAUGCAUAAACCCCGUUAAAGUAAGAAAAACGAUGUGGCCCUCACAGAAAAAAAUUUAAGGACCCCUGCUUUAAUAUGAUUUUUUAAUGUAAUGGUGAAAUUAUCUUACUGAUUAUUUUGGUAAUCCACACAGUAUUAUUUUGUUAUUUGUUUUUAACAUCAUGACAAUUGCAAUUUCGUUUUAUUUGAAUUAAUACACAUUGGUCAAUUUACUCAUAACUAAAAUGAAAAUUGGCUUAGUGGUCAGCACGUUCGCCUCACACCUCCAGGGUCGGGGGUUCGAUUCCCUCCUUCGCCUUGAGUGUGUGGAGUUUGCAUGUUCUCCCCGUGCCUUGGGGGUUUCCUCCGGGUACUCCGGUUUCCUCCCCCGGUCCAAAGACAUGCAUGGUAGGUUGAUUGGCAUCUCUGGAAAGUUGUCCGUAGUGUGUGAUUGCAUGAGUGAAUGAGUGUGUGUGUGCCCUGCGAUGGGUUGGCAUUCCGUCCAGGGUGUAUCCUGCCUUGAUGCCCGAUGACGCCUGAGAUAGGCACAGGCUCCCCGUGACCCGAGAAGUUUGGAUAAGCGGUAGAAAAUGAAUGAAUGAAUGAAUGAAUACAAUGAAAAUCUGCCGUUUAGAUUCAUGUUACAACAUGGCAGCCUCAAAGAUAUUCCUGAGCUUUUAUUCCUUUUCUUAAGUUUGGUUUUGACACAUUUCACUUGUUUGGAUCAUUUUUGCAAUUUUGACUCACCAUGUCUAGCAGAAUAAUACACAGUAUAUUAUUUUGUAAAUCUGCUGAGCAGUGCUUUACUUCAUCUUUAAAGCUACCUGUAUUUUCCCAGUCAAAUCAGGUAAGUCAUUAUGCUGAGAGUAAAGAGUUUAGAUUUGGCAACUUCUGUUAUGUUAUGUACUGAUGUUAGAUGUGACUGGAUAGGACAGGGUCUGUGAGCUUUGUCUUAGCAAACCUAUGGCACACCUAAGCAAAUUAUAUGGUACAGUAUAAAUAAUUCCACACCCAGCCAGAAAACAUUUUGUGAAUUAACAAAGCAAACAAUCAAAGAAAUAAAUAAAUAAAAGAAGGUGUCACAGUGGUGCACCAUCAUUGCAGCCUCACAGCUCCAGAGUCCUGAUUAUGAUUUUAUUCUUUGGUUAUUGUCUUUGUAGCAUUUAACAUUUUCUUCCUGUGUUCUCUUGGGUUUUCUCCUAUAGUCUAAAAUGAGGUGGUUUGGCUACACUAAAUAUCAACUAUAUAUUAUACAAAAAAGUGUGCUCUGUCAAGCCUACUGUUGUUAAAUGUCUGAGAUUCUGUAAGUUUUCCUCAGUGUGAUUUUUCAUCAGUGUUUCCUUUUGUAUGUACAGAUUUUUUAAUAGUAGUUCGCUCAAGCACUCUGUCUCAGCACAGUACCCAUAGGGAUGAUACACUUUACCUGGGUCUUGGUAUUUUAGAUUAAACAGCUGGUGACACUCUUUUGAUGUAACCAUUCGAGUCUCUAAAGUAUGAGUAUAAGUAAAGGAAAGAGAUGUCCCGUAGUACCUUUGUGGAUCAGAAUCUGAAUAACACACAGAUUACUGUUGACCCCAGAGAGUAAAAUUGCUCAAAUUUGUUGCCUGGUUUGUGAAGAGGACAUGAGAAUUCUCCAUUAGUUUUGGAAGCUCUGUUAUUAUGUUCACUUUAGUGUCAUGAAUGAUGUCCAUCUAAAUACAAAUGGAAACAAAAACAAAGUAAUCUAAUGAAAAAAUGCAAACACAUAGAAUAUCAAGCUCUUCUUUCUCAGAUUUCUUGGGGAUGGGGAUGGGGUGCCACCCUGCCCUAAUUAUUGUUCUGUUCUCUGCUGAGGACACUGCUUAGACAUUUCCCCACUAGACCAAUAGAUGGCAGCCUCUCACACCUUCUUGAACUCCUCCUUCUGUUCUUAACCGUUUCAUGUUAUUUCAUUAAUCAUCUAUUUAAGCUCCUUUUUAAAGCAUUUACUUGUCUAAAUGUUUUUGUUGCUUUGCCUGCCAUAGUGGUGUUUGUGGUUUUCUUUAUAGACAGCCUUUUUCUUAGCAUUUAUGUUUUUUCUUCUUUCCACUAUAAAUUAAACUCUGCACUUGCAUCCACCUCACCUCCAAUUUUUGACACAAAUGAUGGUGGUUGGUUUUUUCUCAUUUCAAAAAAUGCUGUUUUCACAUUUUCCUAAUAUUAAUAUUCAUUGGACCCCUCUAUUUCAAAAAAACUUUCGACCUAUCUCUGUCUUGCCUUUCGUGUCAAAAAUUCUGGAGAAAAUUGUGCUAAAUCAACUUCAAAGUUUUCUGAAUAACAAUUGUAUCUAUGAAGUUUUUCAAUCGGGUUUCAGGUCUGCUCACAGUACUGAAUCUGCCCUUUUGAGAGUUUUAAAUGACAUUUAUCUUUCUACUGACUCUGGAGAUUCUGUGGUUCUUAUUCUUUUAGAUUUAUCAGCUGCUUUUGAUACCAUAGACCACUCCCUCUUAUUAUCGAGGCUUGAGACCUGGGUAGGUCUAAAAGCAAAUGUUUUGAGCUGGUUUCAGUCAUACCUAACUGACAGAAAAUUCAUAGUGAAACUGGGUAACUUUUCCUCUGCCCCGCCGCGCUGUCCUAUGGCCUUCCACAAGGCUCUAUUUUAGCUCCUUCUCUAUUUUCGUUAUACAUGCUACCCCUGGGCUCUAUUCUCCGGAAACACGGUGUAUCUUUUCAUUUCUAUGCUGAUGACACCCAAAUCUACUUACCAAUUAGGAAAAACAAUCCUUCAGCAAUCUCUUCUAAAAUGUUUAGAAGAGGUUAAAUUUUGGCUGGCACAAAAUUUCCUGUUUUUAAAUGAAGAAAAGACUGAAGUAAUAAUGUUUAGCCCAAAUGAGAACUCUCAGUCCUCAAGCUUCAAUCUAGACAGUUUAUCUGUUUUUAGAUCUUCAUGGGUGCAGAAUCUUGGCAUCUUUAUUGAUCAGAACUUAAAAUUUGACACACACAUCUCGUCCGUUAUCGGGUCUAGCUUUUACCAACUGCGGAUUCUCUCCAAAAUUAAACGCUUUCUUACCCCUAAGACCUUAGAAAUGGCUGUUCAUGCGUUUAUAACCUCUCGCUUAGAUUACUGUAACUCUUUAUAUUGCGGUAUAUCUAAAACUCCGAUUACGCGUCUCCAGCUCGUUCAAAAUGCUGCUGCCAGAUUUCUCUCCAGUUGUCGCAAACAUGAACACAUCACUCCCAUUCUCAAAUCUCUACACUGGCUUCCUAUUUCUCAGAGAAUAGAUUUUAAGAUUUUACUCUUUGUCUAUAAGUCUCUCCAUAAUAUCGCUCCUCUCUACCUAUCUGAACUUCUUCGUCCCUAUUUUCCUAUUAGAAGUCUCCGUUCAUCUGACCAGGCUUUGUUGGUUGUCCCUCGUGUACGGCUCAAGCGUAGAGGAGAGCGUGCCUUUUCUGUGGCCGGUCCUAAAUUAUGGAACUCCCUGCCACUAGAGAUUAGGAUGGCACCCAUCAUUUCUAGUUUUAAGUCCAUGCCAAAGACCCACUUAUUUUCUCUAGCCUUUUCAUGAUUGCCCAGGGUUUUAUGUCUGUUAUAUCUUAUGGUCUUAAACUGGCUAUUUUAUUUUAUUAUUUUUUUUAUUUUAAUUUAUUUGUACUAUCUUAUUGUGUAUUUUUUAAGUGUAUCUGAAAUAUCAAACGCACUGUGAAGCACUUUGGUCAGCCGUGUGGCUGUUUGUAAAUGUGCUAUAUAAAUAAACUUGAACUUGAUAUUAAACACUGUAACUAUAACAGUUUUCGUUAAGGUAAUUUUGUAAUGGUCAACUUAUCUUACUAAUUAUUUUGGUAAUCCACACAGUAUUAUUUUGUGAUUUGUUUUUAACAUCAUGACGAUUUUUUUUAAUUUGAAUUAAUGCACAUUGGUCAAUUUACUCACAACUGAAGUGAAAUUCAUUUAUUCAUUUUCCUAAGUUUUGUUUGGAUCAUUUUUGCAAUUUUAACUCACCAUGUCUAGUAGAAAGGAAAAGGGAGUGCGAGUUGGCAGAUGAUUUUGUACAUCUCGAAUGGCCGAGGAACCAUUUCUUUUGCCUCUAAGUUUUUCAGGAGUAUUGAAGAACAUUUCAGGAGCCAAUCUGAGCUUAUGUAUGUGACCAAGGAAGAAAAUGCUGUGCAGCAUCUAAGACAAAGAAAUAUGUUGCAAUUAUAUUAACAAUAGUCUGAAAAGAUGCUUUUAUUUAUAUGUAAAAUGACAGCACUUUUUACAUUUGCAUAUUGGGCCUUAUUCAGAGUUGUUGGAUUUAAUUAACUUUUUUAUGACAACAGGUUCCACGUAACUGUGUGCUGUUGAUUUUAAGUAACAUUAUCUUUUU